Molecule: long non-coding RNA, 407 nt
Organism: Dermacentor albipictus
Lineage: Eukaryota; Metazoa; Arthropoda; Arachnida; Ixodida; Ixodidae
Source: RefSeq, a predicted model, not a curated record
AUGCACAAACGACGGUGCUUUAGUCGUGCGUAGUGCGCGUUUCUCUUGUAGCCGUGCUCUGUCGCACUGGAACUGUUGGAACGCUGAAGCUGAAGACGCCCUACCUCCAGCUCGUACUGAGAGGGGCACAGGAUCCGGCUGCUCUGAAGCAGAGGGCUAGUUCGACCAGCCGAAGAUGCCAUUACCGGCAAAGCACAGGAUUGGAUGACGGUCGGGAGGAAUUUGAUAAUUAUUGACCCACAUCAUUUUGACGUCGUGCAAGCGAACUCAUAUUCCCUUAAGGCCCGCCGUCUGUGGGAUGUGGUGAGCAGAUGCACUACCGAUUUGACGAAAGGCUACAGUCGGUCCGUUGUGGAAGCGCCAUCUUCUGCCGAUUGGACGCCACAUCCUUCUCGUCAAAGUAAUUU